This 837-nucleotide ribosomal RNA is filed under the name Triticum aestivum (bread wheat). RNAcentral's name for it is "partial small subunit ribosomal RNA". Lineage: Eukaryota; Viridiplantae; Streptophyta; Magnoliopsida; Poales; Poaceae. The record is from RNAcentral.
AUGGAGAGGAAGCCGACGAAGAAGCACGCGAGGACCAGGAGCGGCGCGCUGGCGUCCUUCCUCAGGUCCACGGCCGCCUCCUUCUCCUCCUCCACGGCCACCACCUUCGGCUCCCGCCCCGCCGGCGGCGGCAAGGCGUCCUUCAACCACCGCAACGCCUUCUCCGGCCCCAUGGUCUCCAUCGUGCCGCCCGAGGCGCGCGGCGGCGGCGGCGGCAGGAGGCGGGGCGGUAGUAAGCAGGGGGGCGGCAGCGGGUACCGGACGCCCGAGGCCUCGUCGCCCAAGGUGUCGUGCAUCGGCCAGAUCAAGCGGAGCAAGUCCAAGACCAGCAAGGCCAGGAAGGCGGCAAAGAACGUCGCCCCCGCGGCCGCCUGCGGGAUGGACGGCGGCGCCUGCCCCAUGCCGCCGCGGCCGCCGGUCCACAGCAGGCCAAAGAGGUCGCUCGUCAGGCGGAUGUUCUCCCGACGGAGCAGGUCGCGGCCUUCGUCCUCCUCCUCGUCCCACAAGUCGAGCGGCGCUGCCGAUCUUUUCAAGGGGAGGCCGGGGAGCAGCGCCGCCGUGGCCGCUGCGCCGGUGUCGGGGCCGGGGAUGGCAGGGCUGGGGCAGAUGAAGCGGUUCACCAGCGGGCGCGGCGCGUUCCAGGACUUCGACUGGAGGGAGGCGGAGAGGAGGGGCUCCGACGUCGACGUCGACGACGAUUACGUGGACGACGGGUUCGUGGCGUUCUCGGCGCCGCUGGUGCUGGGCGGCGGGGUGGUGGCGUCGGAGCCCAGGAAGGAGGUGAACCUGUGGCGGCGCCGCCCCAUGUCCCCUCCCACUCCUCUGGAGCUCCCCUGA